RNAcentral lists this ribosomal RNA (432 nucleotides) under uncultured bacterium. RNAcentral describes it as "partial 16S ribosomal RNA". It matches the Rfam family "Bacterial small subunit ribosomal RNA", at positions 30 to 507 of the family's 1533-position model. The record is from RNAcentral.
AACGAACGCUGGCGGCAUGCCUAACACAUGCAAGUCGAACGAGACCUUCGGGUCUAGUGGCGCACGGGUGCGUAACGCGUGGGAACCUGCCCUUAGGUUCGGAAUAACUCCCCGAAAGGGGUGCUAAUACCGGAUAAUGUCUUCGGACCAAAGAUUUAUCGCCUUUGGAUGGGCCCGCGUUGGAUUAGCUAGUUGGUAGGGUAAAAGCCUACAAAGGCGGCGAUCCAUAGCUGGUCUGAGAGGAUGAUCAUCCACACUGGGACUGGGACACGGCCCAGACUGGAGGGGGAGGGGGGGGAGGGGAAAAUAGGGGAGGGGGAAAAAGCCAGAAACGGAAAGGCCGGGGUGAGGGAAAAGGGGUUGGGAUUUGAAAGCGCCUUUAACGGGGAGGAAAAGAAAGUAACGGGGAAAAAAGCACCGGCUAAACACGUG